RNAcentral lists this ribosomal RNA (460 nucleotides) under uncultured bacterium. RNAcentral describes it as "partial 16S ribosomal RNA". It matches the Rfam family "Bacterial small subunit ribosomal RNA", at positions 338 to 795 of the family's 1533-position model. The record is from RNAcentral.
CCUACGGGUGGCUGCAGUGAGGAAUAUUGGUCAAUGGGCGCAAGCCUGAACCAGCCAAGUCGCGUGAGGGAUGACGGUCCUAUGGAUUGUAAACCUCUUUUGUCGGGGAGCAAGGCCCGCCACGUGUGGCGGGAAGGAGAGUACCCGAAGAAAAAGCAUCGGCUAACUCCGUGCCAGCAGCCGCGGUAAUACGGAGGAUGCGAGCGUUAUCCGGAUGUAUUGGGUUUAAAGGGUGCGUAGGCGGACUGUUUAGUCAGCGGUAAAAGCCCGGGGCUCAACCCCGGCGAGCCGUUGAAACUGGCUGUCUUGAGAUGGCGUGAGGUAUGCGGAAUGCGCAGUGUAGCGGUGAAAUGCUUAGAUAUUGCGCAGAACUCCGAUUGCGAAGGCAGCAUACCGGCGGCGAUCUGACGCUGAGGCACGAAAGCGUGGGUAUCGAACAGGAUUAGAUACCCGGGUAGUC